CAGCCGCCGCGGUAAUACGUAGGGUGCGAGCGUUAAUCGGAAUUACUGGGCGUAAAGCGUGCGCAGGCGGUUCGUUAAGACAGAUGUGAAAUCCCCGGGCUUAACCUGGGAACUGCAUUUGUGACUGGCGAGCUAGAGUAUGGCAGAGGGGGGUAGAAUUCCACGUGUAGCAGUGAAAUGCGUAGAGAUGUGGAAGAAUACCGAUGGCGAAGGCAGCCCCCAGGGCCAAUACUGACGCUCAUGCACGAAAGCGUGGGGAGCAAACAGGAUUAGAUACCCCCGUAGUCCCUGUCUCUUAUAC
This 301-nucleotide ribosomal RNA is filed under the name uncultured bacterium. Its description in RNAcentral is "partial 16S ribosomal RNA". It matches the Rfam family "Bacterial small subunit ribosomal RNA", at positions 509 to 807 of the family's 1533-position model. The record is from RNAcentral.